UACGAAGGGGGCUAGCGUUGUUCGGAAUCACUGGGCGUAAAGCGCACGUAGGCGGAUUGUUAAGUCAGAGGUGAAAUCCCGGAGCUCAACUUCGGAACUGCCUUUGAUACUGGCAAUCUCGAGUCUGGAAGAGGUUGGUGGAACUGCGAGUGUAGAGGUGAAAUUCGUAGAUAUUCGCAAGAACACCAGUGGCGAAGGCGGCCAACUGGUCCAGUACUGACGCUGAGGUGAGAAAGCGUGGGGAGCAAACAGG
This 253-nucleotide ribosomal RNA is filed under the name uncultured bacterium. RNAcentral describes it as "partial 16S ribosomal RNA". It matches the Rfam family "Bacterial small subunit ribosomal RNA", at positions 524 to 776 of the family's 1533-position model. The record is from RNAcentral.